UCCACUUUCUGGUGCAACUCGACUUCCAGAACAAGCGCUCCGUAGUUUUGGCUGUCCAGUAUUCGAGUUAUAGAACGAGGUGGUUGGCGGUGGUUGGAAGUAGAUGGAGGUAGACGAGAAGGAGGACGAGAAGGACAAGGAUUUGUGCUCAGUAUGACCCGAGGUGGUUGGCAGUGUCGUUGGAGGUGGUUAGAGGUGGUCGCAGGUGGAGGAGGAAAAGGAGGAUUUGUGCUCGGUGGUUAGCAGUAGUCGUUGG
Molecule: long non-coding RNA, 256 nt
Filed under: Neodiprion lecontei (redheaded pine sawfly)
Lineage: Eukaryota; Metazoa; Arthropoda; Insecta; Hymenoptera; Diprionidae
Description: uncharacterized LOC107227890, transcript variant X1
Source: RNAcentral